CCACAAGCUACUGGGCAGAUGUGUGGACAGCUAUGAGCCAAACUUGGGACGUUUGGUUUUUAGCAGGUGGAGAGACCGUCUGGGCAGCAGAAACAA
Molecule: non-coding RNA, 96 nt
Organism: Danio rerio (zebrafish)
Lineage: Eukaryota; Metazoa; Chordata; Actinopteri; Cypriniformes; Danionidae
Source: RefSeq, a predicted model, not a curated record